This 403-nucleotide ribosomal RNA is filed under the name uncultured bacterium. Its description in RNAcentral is "partial 16S ribosomal RNA". It matches the Rfam family "Bacterial small subunit ribosomal RNA", at positions 28 to 526 of the family's 1533-position model. The record is from RNAcentral.
GACGAACGCUGGCGGCGUGCCUAAUACAUGCAAGUCGAACGCAGUUGGGACGGGUGAGUAACACGUGGGUAACCUCCCAUCAGGGGGGAUAACAUUUGGAAACAGGUGCUAAACCGAUACUGAUGGAUGGACGCGCGGUGCAUUAGCUAGUUGGUGAGGUAACGGCUCACCAAGGGCACGAUGCCUAGCCGGGCUGGGAGGGUGAUCGGCCCCACGUGGACUGAGACACGGCCCAGACGCCUACGGGAGGCAGCAGUGGGGAAUAUUGCACAAGGGGCGCAAGCCUGAUGCAGCCAUGCCGCGUGUAUGAAGAAGGCCUUAGGGGUGUAAAGUACUUUCAGCGGGGAGGCGUUACCCGCAGAAGAAGCACCGGCUAACUCCGUGCCAGCCGCCGCGGUAAUAC